Molecule: non-coding RNA, 187 nt
Organism: Loxodonta africana (African savanna elephant)
Lineage: Eukaryota; Metazoa; Chordata; Mammalia; Proboscidea; Elephantidae
Source: Rfam
UUGCUCACCCUUCACAGCGCCCUCUCACAAGGUGGUGUGGGCAGUCUUUAGCACAUACCAGUGGUCACAACGGUUCUUGUUAAGUUCAGAGGUGACUGAAUAAAUAGGUCCUCUCCUUUGAGCUGCGGGACAGACAGCCCUGUUGGCUGUUUUCAUUUUACAGCAAGGGAAGCUGAGAUUUGGAAAG